This 320-nucleotide unclassified non-coding RNA is filed under the name Agrocybe pediades. Its description in RNAcentral is "partial internal transcribed spacer region". The stretch from base 1 to 46 matches the Rfam family "Eukaryotic small subunit ribosomal RNA", at positions 1786 to 1831 of the family's 1831-position model. The record is from RNAcentral. Lineage: Eukaryota; Fungi; Basidiomycota; Agaricomycetes; Agaricales; Agrocybaceae.
AAGUCGUAACAAGGUUUCCGUAGGUGAACCUGCGGAAGGAUCAUUAUUGAAUAAACCUGGCGUGGUUGUAGCUGGUCCUCUCGGGGACAUGUGCUCGCCCGUCAUCUUUAUAUCUCCACCUGUGCACCCUUUGUAGACCUGGACGAUAACUUUCCGAGGCAACUCGGUCGGGAGGACUGCUGGCUUUCACGAGUCGGCUUUCCUUGUAUUAUCCAGGCCUAUGUCUUACACAUACCCCAAAGAAUGUAACAGAAUGUAUUGUAUAUGGCCUAGUGCCUAUAAACUAUAUACAACUUUCAGCAACGGAUCUCUUGGUUCUG